AAGGACGAACUGUUAUGACACCACUAAUGUUAAAUCUCAAAUUCUCACUAAAACUUUUAUAAAUAAUGAGAACUGUAACACUUACAUUAUCUUCCACUAGGAAGUAUAAAGGAUGUCACACAUAUUACACAUUUUAAACUCAAAUUUCAACUUUCCACACAUAAAGAUAAUUUGAACUCCUCUCUACUAUUCUUCUACCUCU
Molecule: long non-coding RNA, 202 nt
Filed under: Vigna radiata
Lineage: Eukaryota; Viridiplantae; Streptophyta; Magnoliopsida; Fabales; Fabaceae
Description: long non-coding RNA (VRAD_LNC008861)
Source: RNAcentral